RNAcentral lists this transfer RNA (59 nucleotides) under Rhinebothrium scobinae. RNAcentral describes it as "tRNA-Ser". Lineage: Eukaryota; Metazoa; Platyhelminthes; Cestoda; Rhinebothriidea; Rhinebothriidae. The record is from RNAcentral.
GGGGGAACAUAUAGGGUUACUGCUAAUAAUCCUUCGUCGGUUUAUUUCGACUUCUCCUU